This 468-nucleotide ribosomal RNA is filed under the name uncultured bacterium. Its description in RNAcentral is "partial 16S ribosomal RNA". It matches the Rfam family "Bacterial small subunit ribosomal RNA", at positions 28 to 507 of the family's 1533-position model. The record is from RNAcentral.
GAUGAACGCUGGCGGCGUGCUUAACACAUGCAAGUCGAACGGAAAGGCCAGUGCUUGCACUGGUACUCGAGUGGCGAACGGGUGAGUAACACGUGGGUGAUCUGCCCUGCACUUCGGGGUAAGCCUGGGAAACUGGGUCUAAUACCGGAUAGGACAAUGGUUUGGAUGCCGUUGUGGAAAGUUUUUUCGGUGUGGGAUGAGCUCGCGGCCUAUCAGCUUGUUGGUGGGGUAAUGGCCUACCAAGGCGUCGACGGGUAGCCGGCCUGAGAGGGUGUACGGCCACAUUGGGACUGAGAUACGGCCCAGACUCCUACGGGAGGCAGCAGUGGGGAAUAUUGCACAAUGGGCGCAAGCCUGAUGCAGCGACGCCGCGUGGGGGAUGACGGCCUUCGGGUUGUAAACUCCUUUCGCUAGGGACGAAGCGUAUUUGUGACGGUACCUGGAGAAGAAGCACCGGCUAACUACGUG